AAGUUGGAUUCGCUAGUAAUCGCGCAUCAGCCAUGGCGCGGUGAAUACGUUCCCGGGCCUUGUACACACCGCCCGUCAAGCCAUGGGAGCCGGGGGGCGCCUGAAGUCCGGGACCGCGAGGACCGGCCUAGGGCGAAACUGGUAACUGGGGCUAAGUCGUAACAAGGUAAC
This 171-nucleotide ribosomal RNA is filed under the name uncultured bacterium. RNAcentral's name for it is "partial 16S ribosomal RNA". It matches the Rfam family "Bacterial small subunit ribosomal RNA", at positions 1323 to 1500 of the family's 1533-position model. The record is from RNAcentral.